UGGGGAAUCUUCCGCAAUGGACGAAAGUCUGACGGAGCAACGCCGCGUGAGUGAAGAAGGUUUUCGGAUCGUAAAACUCUGUCUUUUGGGGCGAACGUGAGUAUGGUGAACAAUCAUAGUCAGUGACGGUACCAAAGGAGGAAGCCACGGCUAACUACGUGCCAGCAGCCGCGGUAAUACGUAGGUGGCAAGCGUUGUCCGGAAUUAUUGGGCGUAAAGAGCGCGUAGGCGGGAUAGUCAGUCUGUUGUAAAAGUGCGGGGCUCAACCCCGUGACGGCAAUGGAAACAGCUAUUCUUGAGUGCAGGAGAGGAAAGGUGGAAUUCCCAGUGUAGCGGUGAAAUGCGUAGAUAUUGGGAGGAACACCAGUGGCGAAGGCGACUUUCUGGACUGUGUCUGACGCUGAGGCGCGAAAGCCAGGGGAGCGAACGGGAUUAGAUACCCCCGGUAGUCCUGG
RNAcentral lists this ribosomal RNA (455 nucleotides) under uncultured bacterium. RNAcentral's name for it is "partial 16S ribosomal RNA". It matches the Rfam family "Bacterial small subunit ribosomal RNA", at positions 355 to 799 of the family's 1533-position model. The record is from RNAcentral.